GCUAAAAAUCUAGCUUAACUACAAAAUUAAUCACAACAACAGUUAAAAAAUUAACACAACCACAACCACCUAA
Molecule: ribosomal RNA, 73 nt
Filed under: Neosilurus hyrtlii (Glencoe tandan)
Lineage: Eukaryota; Metazoa; Chordata; Actinopteri; Siluriformes; Plotosidae
Description: partial 16S ribosomal RNA
Source: RNAcentral